GAUAAGGUGGCUGAAAUUAGGCAAUAAAUUGUAAAUUUAUUUAUGGGGGAGCCCUCUUAUCA
Molecule: transfer RNA, 62 nt
Filed under: Urochela rubra
Lineage: Eukaryota; Metazoa; Arthropoda; Insecta; Hemiptera; Urostylididae
Description: tRNA-Tyr
Source: RNAcentral